GACGAACGCUGGCGGCGUGCCUAAUACAUGCAAGUCGAACGCAGUGGGGACGGGUGAGUAACACGUGGGUAACCUCCCAUCAGAGGGGAUAACACUUGGAAACAGGUGCUAAACCGAUACUGAUGGAUGCACCCGCGGUGCAUUAGCUAGUUGGUGGGGUAACGGCUAACCCAGUCCACGAUGCAUAGCCGACCUGAGAGUGUGAUGGGACACACGGGGACUGAGAAACGGCCCAGACUCCUACGGGAGGCAGCAGUAGGGAAUCGUCGGCAAUGGACGAAAGUCUGACCGAGCAACGCCGCGUGAGUGAAGAAGGUUUUCGGAUCGUAAAACGCUGUUGUUAGAGAAGCGGUAUCUAACCAGAAAGCCACGGCUAACUACGUGCCAGCCGCCGCGGUAAUUC
Molecule: ribosomal RNA, 403 nt
Filed under: uncultured bacterium
Lineage: Bacteria
Description: partial 16S ribosomal RNA
Rfam family: Bacterial small subunit ribosomal RNA
Source: RNAcentral